GGAUGUACAGCCGUCUUACACUCAAUUUGCUCUGCUCUGCUGCAAGACAAUGCACGUCUCUACUGCAUGAUCCUUGUGCUCAAGGAAAAUGUGCCGUGGAACCAUUUCACCCAAUGGCAUCGUCCCUCAGGUCCAGAAUCGCUGCUGAGAAUGAAGGCCCCCCACUUAGUGUAUUUGACAAGCUGAGUGGGACACUCGGUAUGGUAGGGUGUCAGUUUGUCAAAUACCCCAAGUGAGAGGUCACUAAUCUCCAAGACCGUCUCCAAGUUCACGCAACGAUGCGGAAGAAGACUUUGCAGUCACAAUCCCCAACCCUGUGCUUGUGAUCUGAGGGUACUGUAAGUCUAAAUCAGGGUUUGGGUGGUGUUACCACACCCUUCUUCGCCAUAUUAAUUCCACUGAAUUGUUCCAAAGAAACAGCUUUGUGAUUAAUUUCAUGAAUUGCACAUUAAUUCGAAUUGCUCAGAUCACCUUAGAUGACGCUGACACAAGGAAGGGUCUUUGUAAUACGGUUGUGUAUCGGCAGUGCACUGUACUUGCAAAGCACUACGGCAAUGGAUUUUGAGUGGCUUGCAUUUUACCUGAAGAAACUGAUCAUGGUAAAACAGUUCAGUUAAUCAUUUUGGAGAUGACUGCGUGUAUGUGUGUGUGUGUGUGUAUUGUCAUGCCCCACUUGCAGUUUUACCCAUUACCUGGUAUGUUCUGCCUGCUUUGACUGUGCUAAUAGUGGAGGUGAGGUUGAGCUAAUUUGGAGAGAUUUAAUGUAUCUAGUCAGCAGGCUAUAUAGCCCUGAAUGGAAUGUACAUUGCAUAUAUGUAUGCUGUUUAUAAUAAAUACAAAUAAAAAUGUUGAAAUGAUAUAUUUUGAAGAAUAAAACAUGUUUAAAGUCUGUAAAA
Molecule: long non-coding RNA, 896 nt
Organism: Anguilla anguilla (European eel)
Lineage: Eukaryota; Metazoa; Chordata; Actinopteri; Anguilliformes; Anguillidae
Exons: 2
Source: RefSeq, a predicted model, not a curated record